Ovis aries (sheep) is the source of this 72-nucleotide transfer RNA. It matches the Rfam family "tRNA". Rfam says of the family: Transfer RNA (tRNA) molecules are approximately 80 nucleotides in length. The record is from Rfam. Lineage: Eukaryota; Metazoa; Chordata; Mammalia; Artiodactyla; Bovidae.
UCCCUGAGAGUUCAGUGGUUAAGGCACUGUGCUCCCCAUGCAGGGGCCCAGGUUCAAUCCCUGGUCAGGGAA